This is a long non-coding RNA of Zalophus californianus (California sea lion), 5802 nucleotides long. RefSeq lists it as uncharacterized. Lineage: Eukaryota; Metazoa; Chordata; Mammalia; Carnivora; Otariidae. The record is from RefSeq and is a predicted model, not a curated record. The transcript has 6 exons.
CAAAAAUAAGAAAGAAGAGGAGAAGGAAGAAGAAAGAAGGAGGAGGAGAAAGAGAAAUGACUUGGAAACCUUUACUUGAGAAGGUGGUCAGACCUUGUAAGGAAUGACCUGGCAAUAGAGUCACAGGUCUGUAGCAUGAUUCUUCCUCCACAUCUGCCUUAGAGUUCACACCUAUGAUCCCAUGGAAAGUUCCUUACGACCUGUUCCAACCUAGGCCUCAGAUGUAGCUACAAAAAGUACUAUAUUAUCCCUUAUGAUAUUCUGCAGCCUGCUCACACCUGAUCCUUGUUUCAAAUUGAGUUGCACAGCAUUCGGUGGCAACGUUGACUGGAAUUCAAACCUCUUUGUUGCCAACACCCAAGAAAAUGAGAUGCAAUGGAUUACAAUUGAAACUGUAACAAUGAGGACAAAAAGCAUUUUCAGAUCUCCAAGUUAAUUGUACAGCAGCUUCCUACACACAUAUGAUCAACCAUAUAAUGAUCCCAUCAAAAUAAAAAAAAAAAUCUAAGCAGAAAUGUCUCAUUUACAUUAAUAAUGUUCACAAAUUAUAUGAAUUCAUUUUGCAAGUGAUGGAUAAUUUAAGCUUUCAUCAUCUAAAGCUUGUCAUUUUUUUCCAAGAGAAAUGGAUUGUUUCAUUUUUAAUGAGUGCAAUAAUAACACAUUUAGUUUCAGCAGAUGCAAAAUAAUGCACACAAAAAAUGAUUUGGAAUUUGCAGAACAAAUAAGCAAACAGUACUAGAAAAACGCAAAGAAACAUGUACUAUAUAGGGCUUUUCUUCUUGUAAGGGGUCAAAAUCUGGUCAAAUCCAGCGUAUUGUUUCAAUUUAAGCAAAUAAAAUCAAUAUGGUCAGGGAAGCAAAGUGCACAGAAAUUUUAAUUAGUUAGGUUUCUUUUCCUUUCUUUUUUUUUUUAUUUCUGUCUCAGACAAGUACUGUUAGCUGACAAGAAAUAUGGCAUUCCUCACCUAAUACAGUAAACAAAACAAAACAAAAACCCUCUCUUAAUCACUAUUAGACAGCCUCUAGACAAUACAUUCCUGCAAGGAAUUGUAAGGGAAAGGAUUGGAUGCCACUUUGUUAAUGAAACUUAAGGAAUAGAUUGUCAGGCAUACCGGGAGUUUCAGAUGUAUUUCUGAAUUCACAUCUGUGGGAGUUGUGGAUUGUCACAGUUCAUUUGCUUUUGUAAAAUAUCCACAAUUUGCUGACAAGCAACUUCAAAAGUCCAUUCAGCGAUUGGGUGGGUGGUGGACCCCUUUCGGCAUUUUUUUAAAGUAAGUGUUCUUUUGCUACUGUAAUAUAGAGCUGGUGAAGAAAAAGAACGAAUGCUAAAAUAAAUAGUAAAAUAUAAAACACUUCAUACAAAGUAAUUUGAUGUGCCAUUAGUUGUACAAUUACUUCAAUAAACAUACACAUGUUAUAAAGGGAAAUCAGAAACAAAAUGCUUUCAGUUACGGAACUUGCAAGCACCCAUGACUCCAUGUUGUUAAUUCCUUUGGGAAGUGCCAUUUUUAAUUUUUUGGUUUCUUUUCAGUGUUGUGCAUGUCCUUGCAACUGCCUUGUUUUUUAAUUUAUAUCAGGAGUCACAGAAUUAGAAGGAAGGCAUUUGAAAUCAUUGAAAACUGCAGUUAAAAAUAAUUAAGUACCAUUAUUUACCUUAAAUUUAGGAGCUGAGGUUGUCAGUCAAAACAAUAUAAAAAUGUUUUAGGUUGUUUAAGUAGCCAGAUUGCCAGUGUAAAAUACUUGAGAAUGCUAACACAUUUCUCAGAGAUGGGCGCAUAAGAAUAAACCUGUAUUCUGUAUAUUAUGCCCCAAGUGGGACGUUGAUGAAGACCUACACAGUGCAUAAUUUCUUUUAAGUUCUUUUAAGCAGUCUUGUGUUAUGAGUACAAUUAAAAGUCCAUCAGUAUCCCAAGUACUCGUGCAUUAUCUACCCUGCCACACUUCGCUAAUGCGUCUUAUCAUUUAGGUUGCUAAUACUGUUCAGUGUAAAGACAGUCUUUCUGAGGUAGACUGUUCAAGUUCAAGGACAAGUCUUUUUCUUACGAAAUGCAUGACAUUCAAAAAAAGACAACAAAUAAAUACUACAUGUACAAUAUGUAGCAAUGAGGUAGAAAUGGUUAUAAAGAACAAUGUUUGAAUACACAUCAGAUGAAAAAAGAAAAAAAAGAAAUGAAUAUUCUCUAGCAACUGUAUAUAAUCCACGAGGAGACACACACACACACACACACACACACACACACACACACACACACGAGAGAGAGAGAGAGAGAGAGAGAGAGAGAGAGAGAGAGAGAGAGAGAGAGAGAAAGGGAGACUGAAAUAAACCUUUGCUUUUUUUUUUUUUAAUAUCAUAAGACAACAAGAAAGAAUGAAUGUGCUCCCAACCUUGGUGUACUACGGAACCAUUUUAUAAAUAUUUAACAUUCUAUAGGACUGAUUCAUAUAUUCUCACACAACUCUGUGGCAAGGCUGACCCAUGCUGCCGACAUUCUACAUAUCACUGAGACAGGGAGGUGAAAUUUUCCUGCUUUCAGUCUAAUUGUCUUUGACAAUUGCAGUGCCUAGUGCUACACUGCUUGUGUUGUAUUUAAAAACAGGGGAAAGAGGAGAGACUUGUUCAUUAAAGAUGCAGUAUCCCUGGUUCACACAAAUGCAUCUGGCAGGUUCAAAAUCGAAUGUCAACCAGAGGUCUUAGCAGAGUGUGAGCUUCAGUUCAUGUGUUGGUUAGUCACAAGUACAGCUGGUUUUGAAUUCUGAAAUACUAAUAGCUCCAUGUUUGCUAAUGUGCUUCGUACGAAAAUCGGCAAGUGAUUCAACAACCGAAGGCUUUACUUUUCAAAAGAAAAAACCAUAUUAAAACACUUUGAGCUGUCGAGUGGUCAUGUGUAUCUGUACAUGUGAAGAAAGGAAGUAACCAGUUGCUUCUGAAUAAUGUAAAAUGGAUGUUAAAGUUCAAAUAGGUGGUGGUGAAAACAGCACACACAUACACACACACAAACACACAUGCUAAUUUUAUAUAUAUAUGUAUAUAUAUAUAUAUAACAUAUAUAUACAUAUAUAUAUAUUAGAACUUUACCUUAGUGGCCUUGAUAGUUCAACAAACUGUGUCCCUUUCACUUCGCAAAAUACAGUUUCAGUGAUCACGAUAGCCAGUUCUUGUUAAGAAACAUGAGAAUGGGAUUAUAGAAGCAUCUUUCUGUUGGGAGUUGGACACAUUUCUAGAGAAACAUUCUAAAUGCCUCUAAAAUAUAUUUUCCAACCCACAAAUAUAUGUAAAUUUACAAAGACCUAUUGUAGGAGUUAAUUUGGACUUUUUUGGAUGUAUUCUUCUGAAAACUGCAUAGCCAAGUACUAUGCAGCCCUUGUAAAUUGACCUUGCUAUUUUACAUCGCAUAGCCUCUGGAUAGCUUUUAUCACUUGCCCAGAUGGUGUUUGGCCUAUGUAUUUGAGUGGAAUGGUUUAUUUUCUCCUUGAUAGGUUUCAAAUGCAUAAGAAAACAUUAUACCCGUCUAUCUGCAUUUGAGUAGAAUACAAACUGACUAAUAGAUAAACAUUCUGUGUGAAAGUAAAUAGCUUUAAAGUAUACUGCCUUCACAUUCCAUUGAUCAGCUCAGUCAGCAAAGUUUUCCAUAUUGUCACUAAUGUUCUAAAUAUUUUGGUGAGAGGCAUGCCAGGAGAGUAGGGUAUUUCCAUUUGUGUCACACAUAAGGUCAUUAUGAACUACCUCUUGAAUUUCCAUUGAUCCUUCUACUGAAGUGGUUUCCUUUACUUCCUUUUUGUUCCCGUUGGAAAUGUUACUGCAGUUAUGAAGGGAAUUAGGGACUGUUACGUGGACUGGCUCAAAUCCCCUGACCAGACGGCAAGGGAUUUGGACUGGCUCAUUACCUUACCUUCGUUAGUAGCCUUCUCCAAAUUCUUAGCAGUCAAAAAGAGGCCAAGAGUACGAAGCCCGCUUACUCAGUUGUACUAUCACUGAUUGUACGCAUUCACUUCUCAGGAUGUGGCACCCCACCCCCACCCCAAGCUCCAGAAGGGAUGGUCAGAAAAGAGCUCAUUAUUAGGCUAGUCCAUAGAAGAGCUCAUAAUGCUGCCAUGCAGAAUCAAAGAAUCACAGGAGAGCACUAUCUACUCAGAGGUCAGCCUUAUCUCCCCCAACAGAUCUUCAUUUCUUCAGCAUGCCCAAUUUCCUAAGAGAUCAAAUCCAAGAAUUCAUGAGGCUAAAUGAAAUUCACACAAGACUUCAGCUUCUGCCUAAAUACAUGGAUCUCUGACGACUCAUCUCUCAAAGUAAUUUUUAAGUCACUUAAAGCUAAAAGCCAAUAUGUAUGACUUCAAUUUAUUUUCAUUUUUAUAAAUGAGUGUAAAACACAACAGUGCAGUCAUAUUUGGCAUUAACUCUUACUAGCCACAAAAAUGUGGGUCAAUAUUGGAUUUUCCAAAGUUGUCUAAAUAAGACUGGGUUUGUCAAAACUUGCCAGUUGCUUUCAAGUGAACACAGCAUGUUGGCGGAAAUGAAAUGUAAUGUCUAAGAGACAGAAAAUAGGUCAGCACUGUGCAAAAGUAAACUUGUCAGCGAGAUCAAUAUGAACCUACAAGUUAAUGGGGAUAUUAGAAUUUCCUUACAAUAAGAGAUGUGCAGGGUACAGCCAGAACACGAUUAUAGCAUUUAUUCACUCGUGAAAAGCAGAGGACGUAUUUAAAUAUUAUUUUUUGUAUCCUUAAUGAAAGGCACUGCUUUUUAAUAUGGAAUAUUUAUAUAUAAGCACAGUUUUAAUUGAUAGACUAUCACAGUAAAUUAAAUUUUGGUUCAUUUGCUCAGUUUUUUGCAACACGAAAAAUAUGAAAAAAGGGGAGUAAUGAUCAAGCAUCAGAAAAUUUCAGAAAUACGAUGAGGUCCUUCAUUAGCUUUCUCUAUGUUAAGUGUUUCGGAGAAUUUGACAUUGUGAAUGAAAUCAGUCAAAAUUUUUGAAGGAAAAAAAACAAUAACAGAAAGAGCUUUCUUGGGGCUUCUCAUUGCAUUUAUUUAAAUUUUUAAAAAAUGUACAUCACUUUUUGAAUACAUAAAAUGCCAGUGCUUUGCAACAGUUUUGUUACUGCAUCUCUCAACUAAAAAAAAAAAAAAAAAAGGAAGAAAAAAAAAAAAAGCAGGAAAAAUACAUUCAAAAAGCCAGGCUGUUCUGCUUAUGCACGGGCAGUGGCUUUGGAAAGCUACGGCCUACACGGUCUGUUCAGAGACAUUGCCGAACAUCAGUUAGCUAUCAAUGAAAAGUUGCACAUAAAGCAUUAAAGGAUACAAAGAACAACUUGGAGGGGAGCAGGAGAAGAAUGGGAAAGUAAGAAAAAUGCCACAUAUUCUGGGGUGGGGGUGGACUCAGGCGGAAGCAAGCAUGAAGACCGAUGUUUUUGGAAACCAGAUCUAUGGGAAAAGGGAGAAAACAAAGUAACGUGUUUGACAAGAUAGAGUUGUGUGUGUGUGCGCGCCUGUGUGCGUCCACUUCCAAUUUUCUAUUUUACUCUCCAAGAGAAAUAUAACAAAACUGAGGUAGAAAUGAAUGUGGGAGCACUAUAGCCCAGAAGAUUUCAAAAUGAGAAGCAAAAUUGCACUGAGAAGGGAGGAGUCAAAAAGGAGAGGGGAUGUAGAUGUUCUUUGUGGAUAUAGAGAAGUUGGUUGGUUGGUUUUUCUAUUUGUUUGUUUGUUUUGCUUGCUAUCUUCUCCAUUCUGUCAAACAGCACGGCAAGCCUAUAAGCUAGAUUAGUGAAUAGGAGGACACCAUUCCCAGCAGUUUUAAGAGAGAACUUGCAA